Carassius carassius (crucian carp) is the source of this 432-nucleotide long non-coding RNA. RefSeq lists it as uncharacterized. The transcript has 4 exons. Lineage: Eukaryota; Metazoa; Chordata; Actinopteri; Cypriniformes; Cyprinidae. The record is from RefSeq and is a predicted model, not a curated record.
AAAUAAGGGCGCGCUACUCAGUGCGCUCUCUCACUUUUGCGAUGUCUCCGCGGAAGAACAUCAGCUCUUCUAAAAAUGGGAAACUCCGGCUGCUACAGGAAGGAGGCUGAAUGUGCUCCGAUCUCCUCCAGAUGAAGACUCCAGCUGCUGCAGCUCUGAUGUCACACAAGACCCCCAAACACCAUGAUCCCAGUGGCCUUUUGUGUUGAGAGGAUAAGGUAAAUGUUCAAAGGUCUGGAAGGUCCAUCACUAUUCAAGAUCUUCCUGUUGUGGGUGAGCUUUUACUUCAGUGUUGUGAUCCAAGUUGAUACCAUCAUAGCAGAACAGUUUCUCUGUGAUGUCUUUUAAACUUGGGAUAGCAUCUGCAGGGUUGGCACUGAUUUCUGUUGAGACCGUCUACAGAAAUCUGACAAAGAAGCCUGCUACAUUGUU